This 717-nucleotide long non-coding RNA is filed under the name Homo sapiens (human). RNAcentral describes it as "non-protein coding lnc-POU1F1-2:1". Lineage: Eukaryota; Metazoa; Chordata; Mammalia; Primates; Hominidae. The record is from RNAcentral.
CGGGCAACGGCGGCGACGGCGGCAGCGACGGAUCCUCCUCCUCCCUUAUUCCCUUGCUCCUCUUUCUUCCUUUUCUUUUCCUUUCCGGCCGGGCCUCGUCCACUUUCCCUAACGGCGGCCUCGAUCCUACGUAAAGGCAUGACUUCCUGGCACCACAGGGAAAAUCGGGUGCAAGCCCAGAAACUAUUUCCCCACCACCACUUGUUGAAAAACUGAUUUGAAGGCAUCUCCGGGGUUGAACAAACGGAAAGUGCCAGGAUUUGAUGCGUCUCUGGUUUCGCUCUGGAGACCAUUCCCUGCUAAGUAUCAAGACGAAAAAAACUGGAAACUAAUCCGGUAAACAUUUAAACUUGAAAACUUAUGAUGAGUUUUCUUUUGAUCUAGCAAACGAUAUGCUUUUUCUCUUUUGUUGGCUAAUUCCUGCACUUUUUAAUUUCUUCAUUUGUUGAAAAUGUUUUCUUCUAUUGAAAACACUUUUGUUCUUCGGGUAUGUAAACUCGAGCAUCCUCUACUGGGUGGAAAUUUGCCUCUGCAGUAACACAAACAGACUUCUUGAAAUUACGAAAACAUUGGAAAGUAUAGGCCUUUCACAUUAGCACAAAUGAUUGAGCAUUUUAUGCUAUAAAGAAUUACAUGCUUAUUGUUUUUGAAAUCCAAAUAUUUAAAGAUACAAGACUUUUUACAUAGAAAGUAAGACUUAACGCAUUACGGGGCACA